Molecule: ribosomal RNA, 1000 nt
Filed under: Microbacterium sp. HBUM178210
Lineage: Bacteria; Bacillati; Actinomycetota; Actinomycetes; Micrococcales; Microbacteriaceae
Description: bacterial SSU rRNA
Rfam family: Bacterial small subunit ribosomal RNA
Source: RNAcentral
AGCCUGGGCGGCGUGCUUAACACAUGCAAGUCGAACGAUGAAGCCCAGCUUGCUGGGUGGAUUAGUGGCGAACGGGUGAGUAACACGUGAGCAACCUGCCCCUGACUCUGGGAUAAGCGCUGGAAACGGCGUCUAAUACUGGAUAUGUCCCGUCACCGCAUGGUGUGCGGGUGGAAAGAUUUUUCGGUUGGGGAUGGGCUCGCGGCCUAUCAGCUUGUUGGUGAGGUAAUGGCUCACCAAGGCGUCGACGGGUAGCCGGCCUGAGAGGGUGACCGGCCACACUGGGACUGAGACACGGCCCAGACUCCUACGGGAGGCAGCAGUGGGGAAUAUUGCACAAUGGGCGAAAGCCUGAUGCAGCAACGCCGCGUGAGGGAUGACGGCCUUCGGGUUGUAAACCUCUUUUAGCAGGGAAGAAGCGAAAGUGACGGUACCUGCAGAAAAAGCACCGGCUAACUACGUGCCAGCAGCCGCGGUAAUACGUAGGGUGCAAGCGUUAUCCGGAAUUAUUGGGCGUAAAGAGCUCGUAGGCGGUCUGUCGCGUCUGCUGUGAAAUCCCGAGGCUCAACCUCGGGCUUGCAGUGGGUACGGGCAGACUAGAGUGCGGUAGGGGAGAUUGGAAUUCCUGGUGUAGCGGUGGAAUGCGCAGAUAUCAGGAGGAACACCGAUGGCGAAGGCAGAUCUCUGGGCCGUAACUGACGCUGAGGAGCGAAAGGGUGGGGAGCAAACAGGCUUAGAUACCCUGGUAGUCCACCCCGUAAACGUUGGGAACUAGUUGUGGGGUCCUUUCCACGGAUUUCCGUGACGCAGCUAACGCAUUAAGUUCCCCGCCUGGGGGAGUACGGCCGCAAGGCUAAAACUCAAAGGAAUUGACGGGGACCCGCACAAGCCGGCUGGAGCAUGCGGAUUAAUUCGAUGCAACGCGGAAGAACCUUACAAAGGCUUGACAUACACGAGAAACGGGCCCAAAAUGUGUCAACUCUUUUGGGACACCUCUUGA